CAAUGGGACCUGAUGGAAUACACCUAAAUCUGUUAAAAGAGCUUAGUGGUGUACUAGCAAAACCAUUAACAGACUUAUUUAACCAAUCAUUGUUAACAGGAGUAGUCCCAGAAGAUUGGAAGUUAGCGAAUGUUGUGCCCAUUCACAAGAAAGGUAAUAGGGAGGAGUUGGGCAACUAUAGGCCAGUAAGCCUUACUUCAGUAGUGG
Molecule: non-coding RNA, 207 nt
Organism: Pelobates cultripes (western spadefoot toad)
Lineage: Eukaryota; Metazoa; Chordata; Amphibia; Anura; Pelobatidae
Source: the annotation of a GenBank genome assembly